GUUGGGGAAAGGGGCUGGGUUUCAAACAACCCAGAUUUGAAGUUGGGUGUUAAGGGUGGUUAGAGAUCGAGAGAGGGAUGGUUGCGAUGGUGGUAGGGUUCGUAUCCAGGGCGGGAUGUUGCGACGAGUUCGAUGUUCUUUAUCAUUGAAUUUGCAACCAACAAAAAAAAUGAACUAAAAAAUUUAAUUUAAAAAAAAAAAAGAGCAAAAGAGAGAUGAAGAUAGUGUUGGAUGCUGGGUGGAAGAUCAAUGAGAAUAUGGCUAAGAUGGUUGUUGGGUUGUAUAUUGAACUUGGGAUGGUGGUGAAAUUGGAGGAGCUACUUGUAGAUUUAAUGGAGACCAAUCAAGUAUCAAAAGNNNNNUUGUUGGGGUUGGCUGUGGGUAAGGAUUAAUGGUGGAU
RNAcentral lists this long non-coding RNA (400 nucleotides) under Prunus dulcis (almond). RNAcentral's name for it is "sRNA ncRNA". Lineage: Eukaryota; Viridiplantae; Streptophyta; Magnoliopsida; Rosales; Rosaceae. The record is from RNAcentral.